AUUGCAGGCUGCAACUCGCCUGCAUGAAGUUGGAAUUGCUAGUAAUCGCGAAUCAGAAUGUCGCGGUGAAUACGUUCCCGGGCCUUGUACACACCGCCCGUCACACCAUGAGAGUCGAUAACACCCGAAGCCUGUGAGCUAACCGUAAGGAGGCAGCAGUCGAAGGCGGGGUUGAUGAUUGGGGUGAAGUCGUAACAAGGUACC
This 204-nucleotide ribosomal RNA is filed under the name uncultured bacterium. RNAcentral describes it as "partial 16S ribosomal RNA". It matches the Rfam family "Bacterial small subunit ribosomal RNA", at positions 1297 to 1500 of the family's 1533-position model. The record is from RNAcentral.